This 253-nucleotide ribosomal RNA is filed under the name uncultured bacterium. RNAcentral describes it as "partial 16S ribosomal RNA". It matches the Rfam family "Bacterial small subunit ribosomal RNA", at positions 524 to 776 of the family's 1533-position model. The record is from RNAcentral.
UACAGAGGGUGCGAACGUUGCUCGGAAUUACUGGGCGUAAAGCGCGUGUAGGCGGAGCCGCAAGUCAGAUGUGAAAGCCCCGGGCUCAACCCGGGAACUGCAUCUGAAACUGCGGUUCUUGAGUACUGGAGAGGGUGGCGGAAUUCCUGGUGUAGAGGUGAAAUUCGUAGAUAUCAGGAGGAACACCAAUGGCGAAGGCAGCUCGCUGGGACGUGACUGACGCUGAGACGCGAAAGCGUGGGGAGCAAACAGG